GAAAGGUGGGGGAGGGGGGAGGGGGGAAGCUGGUAGUAUUGCUGGAUUCUAAUAACUGCUAACACAGGGAGUGCAAGAGUAACUCCAGUGGAAGUGAAAGGAUAAAUAAAUCUGCAAGGCUCUUCAUGCUCUGACUGCUGCCUUCUGACUGACUUUAUGAUGACCUGUUCCAGCUAUGCUCACUUCAUUGUGACUCCCCAAAGACUUCAUGCUAUCAUUUCACUUUGACCAUACAAAUCUCCAUUAAAAUGGCUAUGUGUCACAACUUACUAAACACAGCUGGAUUUCCAACCACAGCAGACACUGAUUUGGCAGUACUGUCAGAAGACCUUGCCCCUACAAUGUCAAGGACAAACAUUAAGUGACAUUUUCUGAUAGAAAAAAUAAAUGCAUGUAGGUUACCAUAAGUUUGACUCUGGC
This 420-nucleotide long non-coding RNA is filed under the name Equus asinus (donkey). RNAcentral describes it as "lncRNA (ENSEASG00005028143.1)". Lineage: Eukaryota; Metazoa; Chordata; Mammalia; Perissodactyla; Equidae. The record is from RNAcentral.